This 450-nucleotide ribosomal RNA is filed under the name uncultured bacterium. RNAcentral describes it as "partial 16S ribosomal RNA". It matches the Rfam family "Bacterial small subunit ribosomal RNA", at positions 354 to 796 of the family's 1533-position model. The record is from RNAcentral.
GUGGGGAAUUUUGGACAAUGGGCGCAAGCCUGAUCCAGCAAUGCCGCGUGCAGGAAGAAGGCCUUCGGGUUGUAAACUGCUUUUGUACGGAACGAAACGGUCCUGGCUAAUAUCCGGGGCUAAUGACGGUACCGUAAGAAUAAGCACCGGCUAACUACGUGCCAGCAGCCGCGGUAAUACGUAGGGUGCGAGCGUUAAUCGGAAUUACUGGGCGUAAAGCGUGCGCAGGCGGUGCUGUAAGACAGGCGUGAAAUCCCCGGGCUCAACCUGGGAAUUGCGCUUGUGACUGCAGUGCUGGAGUGCGGCAGAGGGGGAUGGAAUUCCGCGUGUAGCAGUGAAAUGCGUAGAUAUGCGGAGGAACACCGAUGGCGAAGGCAAUCCCCUGGGCCUGCACUGACGCUCAUGCACGAAAGCGUGGGGAGCAAACAGGAUUAGAAACCCCAGUAGUCC